GUACUCGCUUUGGCAGCACAUAUACUAAAAUUGGAAGGAUACAGAGAAGAUUAUCAUAGCCUCUGCACAAGGAUGACACGCAAAUUUGUGAAGUGCUCCAUAUUUUU
Molecule: small nuclear RNA, 107 nt
Organism: Dasypus novemcinctus (nine-banded armadillo)
Lineage: Eukaryota; Metazoa; Chordata; Mammalia; Cingulata; Dasypodidae
Source: Ensembl